GAUGAACGCUGGCGGCGUGCCUAAUACAUGCAAGUCGAGCGAACAGACGAGGAGCUUGCUCCUCUGACGUUAGCGGCGGACGGGUGAGUAACACGUGGAUAACCUACCUAUAAGACUGGGAUAACUUCGGGAAACCGGAGCUAAUACCGGAUAAUAUAUUGAACCGCAUGGUUCAAUAGUGAAAGACGGUUUUGCUGUCACUUAUAGAUGGAUCCGCGCCGCAUUAGCUAGUUGGUAAGGUAACGGCUUACCAAGGCGACGAUGCGUAGCCGACCUGAGAGGGGGAUCGGCCACACUGGAACUGAGACACGAUCCAGACUCCUACGGGAGGCAGCAGUAGGGAAUCUUCCGCAAUGGGCGAAAGCCUGACGGAGCAACGCAGCGUGAGUGAUGAAGGUCUUCGGAUCGUAAAACUCUGUUAUUAGGGAAGAACAAAUGUGUAAGUAACUAUGCACGUCUUGACGGUACCUAAACAGAAAGCCACGGCUAACUACGU
This 496-nucleotide ribosomal RNA is filed under the name uncultured bacterium. RNAcentral's name for it is "partial 16S ribosomal RNA". It matches the Rfam family "Bacterial small subunit ribosomal RNA", at positions 28 to 506 of the family's 1533-position model. The record is from RNAcentral.